Long non-coding RNA from Priapulus caudatus, 409 nucleotides. RefSeq lists it as uncharacterized. The record is from RefSeq and is a predicted model, not a curated record. NCBI's taxonomy places the organism in Eukaryota, Metazoa, Priapulida, Priapulimorpha, Priapulimorphida, Priapulidae. The transcript is spliced from 2 exons.
UGCAUUCAACCUUACUGCAGAGCAUACUGUUGAUAGUGUGUUCCGCGAAAUUUCUGUUCGUUUAAAUCUAUUUUAAUACAUUAUACGAUCGCUGAAAUAUGUCAUCAAGUACCAUUAUUAGUUCUAUGACUAUAAACGAACUAAAAGAUGAGCUGAGGACGUUCGGAGCGAAGGUUUCUGGCAGAAAACAGGAGUUAUGUGAGAGGUUAGAGUUUUAUAGGACUAAUAAAGUGGUUGUAUCACUUGAACCGGAGUAUAAAAUGUGUGUACCAGAAAACUAGUGAAUUCAAAGAUAUCCACACUGGAAUGAUUGAUUGGCUCCCAAAAAUAAGUAUGAAGAGAAUAGAUGAAUAUCUAAAUCGGUAUGACAAAGGAUUUGAUGAGAAAAUAAAAGAUUUUUAUCAACAAA